RNAcentral lists this long non-coding RNA (742 nucleotides) under Mus musculus (house mouse). RNAcentral's name for it is "lincRNA-EC16". Lineage: Eukaryota; Metazoa; Chordata; Mammalia; Rodentia; Muridae. The record is from RNAcentral.
CCGAAGCAUGCCAUUCUGCCCUGCCAGGCUCGGCCCUUGUCUUCCUCUCUCUGGAUUCUAGGGCUAUGAUGAGUCAAUAUUCGUUGACAAAUUAACUGGCUUGGGAAUCACCUGGGAAACACACCUCUGGGCAUGUCUGUGAGGGUCUGAAGAGGUUUUAAAUGGAAGAGGAGGAAACACCAACCCUGAAGGAACUAACCUCCCAAAGGGAACAAAGCCAGGAUCCUGUAAACAAACAAACGGGCUAAUUACAGGUUAGCUAUAGCUGAGAUCUGAAGUGUUUCCAAAAGGCCUUUGUGUUGCUUGGAACUAGGAGAAGGCAGAUGAACCCAGAGGGCAAAAGCAGUCAUGUUCAGAAACCUCUGGAACGCUCAAGGUCACCAACAUGCUAGUGUGGCCCAGUCCUCUGUGUCCUCUUUUCUGUGAGCCCUGAAGAUAUCCUUCUCACAACUGCACACAGCUGGCCUUCCUGGCCUUUGGCUCUUGGUGUGUGAAAGUCUACAGAACUGAAGAGCUCCAGCCCUCAACAUGACAGAAUGUCUGGAACCCGAGGGCAGGAUUGUUUGUCACUCAGGCAUCAGAAGACAAAGGCAACUGGAUGGUUUUGAAGCUCAUCAAUUUGAAAAGCACCGGUCCUGGGCACGGUGGUGCACGCCUUUAAUUCCGGCACUUGGAAGGUGGAAGCAGGUGACUGAUAGUUUGAGGCCAGCCUGCGGUUACACCAUGUGUUCCCUAUCUCAGA